RNAcentral lists this ribosomal RNA (433 nucleotides) under uncultured bacterium. RNAcentral describes it as "partial 16S ribosomal RNA". It matches the Rfam family "Bacterial small subunit ribosomal RNA", at positions 29 to 507 of the family's 1533-position model. The record is from RNAcentral.
AACGAACGCUGGCGGCAGGCCUAACACAUGCAAGUCGAGCGAGGACUUCGGUUCUAGCGGCGGACGGGUGAGUAACGCGUGGGAAUGUGCCCUUCUCUACGGAAUAGCCCUGGGAAACUGGGAGUAAUACCGUAUACGCCCUAUUGGGGAAAGAUUUAUCGGAGAAGGAUCAGCCCGCGUUGGAUUAGGUAGUUGGUGGGGUAAUGGCCUACCAAGCCGACGAUCCAUAGCUGGUUUGAGAGGAUGAUCAGCCACACUGGGACUGAGACACGGCCCAGACUCCUACGAGAGGCAGCAGUGGGGAAUCUUAGACAAUGGGGGCAACCCUGAUCAAGCCAUGCCGCGUGAGUGAUGAAGGCCUUAGGGUUGUAAAGCUCUUUCAGCUGGGAAGAUAAUGACGGUACCAGCAGAAGAAGCCCCGGCUAACUCCGUG